Lonchura striata (white-rumped munia) is the source of this 213-nucleotide non-coding RNA. NCBI's taxonomy places the organism in Eukaryota, Metazoa, Chordata, Aves, Passeriformes, Estrildidae. The record is from RefSeq and is a predicted model, not a curated record.
AACCGAGGACACAGGAAAGGAAGAAUUCCAGAGACACACAGAUCAUGUGACACCACACUUAGUGGGUCAAGGACACAAAGUAGCUACAAGCUCUUCAUAAACAGGUCGGUGAGUGCUGUAGAAGAAAUCCCGGGUGGAACUGCGAAGAACAGCCGACAGAACCUGAUAAGCUUGGGAUCCACCUUCUCUGUGUCCACAAAGGACUCCUCAGCA